RNAcentral lists this ribosomal RNA (632 nucleotides) under uncultured Pseudomonadota bacterium. RNAcentral's name for it is "bacterial SSU rRNA". It matches the Rfam family "Bacterial small subunit ribosomal RNA", at positions 108 to 736 of the family's 1533-position model. The record is from RNAcentral. Lineage: Bacteria; Pseudomonadati; Pseudomonadota.
GAGGAAUACAUCGGAAUCUACUCUGUCGUGGGGGAUAACGUAGGGAAACUUACGCUAAUACCGCAUACGACCUACGGGUGAAAGCAGGGGAUCUUCGGACCUUGCGCGAUUGAAUGAGCCGAUGUCGGAUUAGCUAGUUGGCGGGGUAAAGGCCCACCAAGGCGACGAUCCGUAGCUGGUCUGAGAGGAUGAUCAGCCACACUGGAACUGAGACACGGUCCAGACUCCUACGGGAGGCAGCAGUGGGGAAUAUUGGACAAUGGGCGCAAGCCUGAUCCAGCCAUACCGCGUGGGUGAAGAAGGCCUUCGGGUUGUAAAGCCCUUUUGUUGGGAAAGAAAUCCAACUGGUUAAUACCCGGUUGGGAUGACGGUACCCAAAGAAUAAGCACCGGCUAACUUCGUGCCAGCAGCCGCGGUAAUACGAAGGGUGCAAGCGUUACUCGGAAUUACUGGGCGUAAAGCGUGCGUAGGUGGUUAUUUAAGUCCGUUGUGAAAGCCCUGGGCUCAACCUGGGAACUGCAGUGGAUACUGGAUGACUAGAAUGUGGUAGAGGGUAGCGGAAUUCCUGGUGUAGCAGUGAAAUGCGUAGAGAUCAGGAGGAACAUCCAUGGCGAAGGCAGCUACCUGGACCA